AUACGGAGGGUCCAAGCGUUAUCCGGAAUCAUUGGGUUUAAAGGGUCCGCAGGCGGUCAAUUAAGUCAGAGGCGAAAGCCCAUCGCUCAACGAUGGAACUGCCUUUGAUACUGGUUGACUUGAGUUAUACGGAAGUAGAUAGAAUAAGUAGUGUAGCGGUGAAAUGCAUAGAUAUUACUUAGAAUACCGAUUGCGAAGGCAGUCUACUACGUAUAUACUGACGCUGAGGGACGAAAGCGUGGGGAGCGAACAGGAUUAGAAACCCUAGUAGUCC
Molecule: ribosomal RNA, 274 nt
Filed under: uncultured bacterium
Lineage: Bacteria
Description: partial 16S ribosomal RNA
Rfam family: Bacterial small subunit ribosomal RNA
Source: RNAcentral